This 1394-nucleotide ribosomal RNA is filed under the name uncultured Lactobacillus sp. RNAcentral describes it as "bacterial SSU rRNA". It matches the Rfam family "Bacterial small subunit ribosomal RNA", at positions 13 to 1361 of the family's 1533-position model. Lineage: Bacteria; Bacillati; Bacillota; Bacilli; Lactobacillales; Lactobacillaceae. The record is from RNAcentral.
UUGAUCCUGGCUCAGGACGAACGCUGGCGGCGUGCCUAAUACAUGCAAGUCGAGCGAGCCGAACUAAUUGAUUACCUUCGGGUAUGAAGUUAGGGAAGCGAGCGGCGGAUGGGUGAGUAACACGUGGGUAACCUACCCUAUAGUCUGGGAUACCACUUGGAAACAGGUGCUAAUACCGGAUAAAAGGAGAGAUCACAUGAUUUCUUUUUGAAAGGCGGCGUAAGCUGUCGCUAAAGGAUGGACCCGCGGUGCAUUAGCUAGUUGGUAAGGUAACGGCUUACCAAGGCAACGAUGCAUAGCCGAGUUGAGAGACUGAUCGGCCACAUUGGGACUGAGACACGGCCCAAACUCCUACGGGAGGCAGCAGUAGGGAAUCUUCCACAAUGGACGCAAGUCUGAUGGAGCAACGCCGCGUGGGUGAAGAAGGUUUUCGGAUCGUAAAGCUCUGUUGUUGGUGAAGAAAGAUAGUGAGAGUACUGCUCCAUUUAUUUGGCCGGUAAAUCAACCAGAAAGUCACGGCUAACUACGUGGCCAGCAGCCGCGGUAAUACGUAGGUGGCAAGCGUUGUCCGGAUUUAUUGGGCGUAAAGCGAGCGCAGGCGGAAAGAUAAGUCAGAUGUGAAAGCCCUCGGCUUAACCGAGGGAUAGCAUCGGAAACUGUCUUUCUUGAGUGCAGAAGAGGAGAGUGGAACUCCAUGUGUAGCGGUGGAAUGCGUAGAUAUAUGGAAGAACACCAGUGGCGAAGGCGGCUCUCUGGUCUGUAACUGACGCUGAGGCUCGAAAGCAUGGGUAGCGAACAGGAUUAGAUACCCUGGUAGUCCAUGCUGUAAACGAUGAGUGCUAAGUGUUGGGAGGUUUCCGCCUCUCAGUGCUGCAGCUAACGCAUUAAGCACUCCGCCUGGGGAGUACGACCGCAAGGUCAAAACUCAAAGGAAUUGACGGGGGCCCGCACAAGCGGUGGGAGCAUGGUGGUUUAAUUCGAAGCAACGCGAAGAACCCUUACCAGGUUCUUGACAUUCUAGGUGCCAACCUAAGAGAGAUUUAGGCGGUUCCCUUCGGGGACACUAAGACAGGUGGUGCAUGGCUGUCGUCAGCUCGUGUCGUGAGAUGUUGGGUUAAGUCCCGCAACGAGCGCAACCCUUAUUAUUAGUUGCCAGCAUUAAGUUGGGCACUCUAAUGAGACUGCCGGUGACAAACCGGAGGAAGGUGGGGAUGACGUCAAGUCAUCAUGCCCCUUAUGACCUGGGCUACACACGUGCUACAAUGGGCAGUACAACGAGGAGCGAACUUGUGAAGGCAAGCGAAUCUCUGAAAGCUGUUCUCAGUUCGGACUGUAGGCUGCAACUCGCCUACACGAAGCUGGAAUCGCUAGUAAUCGCGGAUCAGCACGCCGCG